Molecule: small nuclear RNA, 68 nt
Filed under: Echinops telfairi (small Madagascar hedgehog)
Lineage: Eukaryota; Metazoa; Chordata; Mammalia; Afrosoricida; Tenrecidae
Description: U1 spliceosomal RNA (ENSETEG00000025462.1)
Source: RNAcentral
NGGCGAGGCUUAUCCAUUGCAUUCCGGAUGUGCUGACCCCUGCGAUUUCCCCAAAUGUAGGAAACUCA